GGGGGGAGGGGGCCAGGCAGCCGUUAGACAGCACAACCGAACCCAACACCGGGGCCCAACGGCAGGGGCUUGGGCAGGAGCAAGGUCCGAGGGCUGCCAGGUCCACGCUGCUUUUAUGAGCUGUAACACUCACCGCGAAGAUCUGCAGCUUCACUCCUGAGCCCAGCGAGACCACGAGCCCACCGGGAGGAACAAACAACUCCAGACGCGCUGCCUUAAGAGCUGUAACACUUGCCGUGAAGGUCUGCAGCUUCACUCCUGAGCCAGCGAGACCACGAACCCACCAGAAGGAAGAAACUCCGAACACAUCUCAACAUCAGAACGGACAGACUCCAGACGCACCACCUUAAGAGCUGUAACACUCACCGCGAGGUUCCGCGGCUUCAUUCUUGAAGUUCGUGAGCCACACAUCUCCCCACACCAAGCUCCUCCAUACAAGACCUCGGACUGCAUCACGUAAAUGCUUUUUCAGGGGCAAAAUCUAGAGAAUCUGAAACGAGCUAUCAGCUUCCCAGUUUGCACAAUUCAUCAAGAAAUUAUGCGGGGUCACUGGCACAAAUGAUGAGGCAUCUCCUGGAAGCUUAACUUCUUAUCCAUCCCAUCUCUUGGACAGAUGAUGCCAGUUAAUUACUUUGAAUAGAAGACUCACUGGUGGCACCUGCAGCUGCGGCGUUUUCCCCAAGCUGGUCUGUGGAGAAGCCUGGGACAGAAAGAAGCAGCCAGACUCCAGAAUCCCCCAUUUUAAUAGCUAUUCUAUGCUAUGUCCCCGUCUUAUUCCUGGCAACUUACCUCUCAGCUCGUGCACUGUGACAUUACAGCAAGAAGUACUAAUAUAAAUGACACAAAAGAAAAAAGAAA
This 858-nucleotide long non-coding RNA is filed under the name Homo sapiens (human). RNAcentral's name for it is "HSALNT0390252". Lineage: Eukaryota; Metazoa; Chordata; Mammalia; Primates; Hominidae. The record is from RNAcentral.